UACGGAGGGUGCAAGCAUUAAUCGGAAUUAUUGGGCGUAAAGGGCGCGUAGGCGGAUUUGUAAGUCAGAUGUGAAAUUCCGAAGCUCAACUUCGGAGCUGCAUUUGAAACUGUGAGUCUAGAGGGAUGGCGGAGAAAAUGGAAUUCCACGUGUAGCGGUGAAAUGCGUAGAUAUGUGGAAGAACACCGGUGGCGAAGGCGAUUUUCUAGCUUUUACUUGACGCUGAGGCGCGAGAGCAAGGGGAGCAAACAGG
This 253-nucleotide ribosomal RNA is filed under the name uncultured prokaryote. Its description in RNAcentral is "partial 16S ribosomal RNA". It matches the Rfam family "Bacterial small subunit ribosomal RNA", at positions 524 to 776 of the family's 1533-position model. The record is from RNAcentral.